This 393-nucleotide ribosomal RNA is filed under the name uncultured bacterium. RNAcentral describes it as "partial 16S ribosomal RNA". It matches the Rfam family "Bacterial small subunit ribosomal RNA", at positions 523 to 918 of the family's 1533-position model. The record is from RNAcentral.
AUACGGAGGAUCCGAGCGUUAUCCGGAUUUAUUGGGUUUAAAGGGAGCGUAGGCGGACGCUUAAGUCAGUUGUGAAAGUUUGCGGCUCAACCGUAAAAUUGCAGUUGAUACUGGGUGUCUUGAGUACAGUAGAGGCAGGCGGAAUUUGUGGGGUAGCGGUGGAAUGCUUAGAUAUCACGAAGAACUCCGAUUGCGAAGGCAGCCUGCUGGACUGUAACUGACGCUGAUGCUCGAAAGUGUGGGUAUCAAACAGGAUUAGAUACCCUGGUAGUCCACACAGUAAACGAUGAAUACUCGCUGUUUGCGAUAUACAGUAAGCGGCCAAGCGAAAGCGUUAAGUAUUCCACCUGGGGAGUACGCCGGCAACGGUGAAACUCAAAUGAAUUGACGGGG